UUUAAAUGUAGUUGUAAAUUUUUUAUCCAACGUUUGAUCGUCUAUCUUAUUUAAAAUUGUUUUAUGAUUAGUAUUUUUGUUGUUAUUAGAUGAUAAAGUACGAAUAGUACUUUAUGCGUGAUUUUUUAAAAAAAUUAUAAUUUUUAAAUAAAACAUAUGGUUAAACAUUGGAUAAAAAGCUAAAGCUGUAUUUAAA
RNAcentral lists this microRNA precursor (196 nucleotides) under Oryza punctata. RNAcentral describes it as "MIR812 microRNA precursor family". It matches the Rfam family "MIR812 microRNA precursor family". Lineage: Eukaryota; Viridiplantae; Streptophyta; Magnoliopsida; Poales; Poaceae. The record is from Rfam by way of RNAcentral.